CUUCCAAAGUCUAAUUCAUAUCUGAAAAAUCUGCAUAUUCAAACUUUGAAAGACUUUCUGAAGACUUCGUGGGACGUCUUCUAGCAUAAAAUGCAUUAGAAGACUUCUUAGAAGUCUUCCAAAGUCUGAUUUAGAUCUGAAAAUUUUAUAUAUUCAAAAGCAUUCAAAUAGCUUUAAAACAGAGAAAACUUCAAAAACACUUUUUUAUACUUAAUAAUAAACAAAAAAUUGUCAGAUUAGGUUGAAUUUAUAACUUUUUAGAAUCCGAUAUAUUAAACACAAAAAAUACAUAUCCAAAAUUUGUACCACUUUGGGCAGAACACUUCCUGAAGACUUCGUAGAAAGUUUUCUAGCAUAAAAUGCAU
Molecule: long non-coding RNA, 365 nt
Filed under: Brassica napus (rape)
Lineage: Eukaryota; Viridiplantae; Streptophyta; Magnoliopsida; Brassicales; Brassicaceae
Description: long non-coding RNA (BNAP_LNC019448)
Source: RNAcentral